RNAcentral lists this unclassified non-coding RNA (908 nucleotides) under Hevea brasiliensis (rubber tree). The record is from RNAcentral. Lineage: Eukaryota; Viridiplantae; Streptophyta; Magnoliopsida; Malpighiales; Euphorbiaceae.
AUCCUUUCAAGCUCUGAAACCACAAACAAGCACCCAUAGACUACUACACUUGAACCAGUCCAGCCUUCUCUCAAUCCAACAGCCAUAUUCUCCCACCUAUCAGUUCUUGGAUCAUAUACCUGACCCCUAGGAGAGACAAAAAAUGGCCACAACCAGCCUUCUGUCACAAGAAGCUUCCCUUCAAGAACUGCUGCAUCAUAAGAUGCCAUAUUAGUUCCCAUGCUUGCAAUGCAGCGCCAUUUCCCCUUGACAGGAUCCAAAACCUCUGCUGAGUCAAGCUCAAAAAGAUUAGUACUGUUUCCUCCAGCUACAUAUAUCAUCCCAUCAAUUACCCCACUUGCAAAAAAUGAUCUGGCUGCAAUCAUUUGAUUCAUCACAGUCCAACGAUUUUUUUGCAUCUCAUACUUCAAGACCAAAUCAAGGGGGCAAUCCACAUCAGAGACCAUACCCCCACAAACAAAGAGUGUACCAUCAAGGGGUAUUGAUGCACACCUAAAUCCAUGAGGGCAGACCCUCUCCUUACAGGGCAUUACUGGGAUAGUGUGCCAUGAGAAGUGGGUAAGAUCUAGAACUUGCCACUGAAUUUUCCCAGUGCAUUUGUGGAAAGCAAAGACAAAGAGCCAAGGGUCCUUAAAGCCAAGUUCCUUUCUACGGGUGAAGAACCGCUCCUUAUUACCAAGUAGUAAAUGCCAUCGCUUGCAAACUGUUCUACAGGCUGCAUGGCUCUGGACUGGAAGCCGGAGAAGACAGUUAAGGGCAACAUCAUCAGGAAGCCCAGGAAUUAAGGGUUCGCCUUGGAGAGAUGACUCCAGCUCUGAUGAAGGGCUUAACAAAGAAGAUUGGAUCAUAGCUAAUCUAAACUUAGGAGAUAAUGCCAUCUGGGAAUCCCCUAGCUUAUGUACAGGUGC